GACGGGUCGAGCAGUAACGAAAGUUGGAGUUAGUGAUCCGGUGGUAUGUGAGUGGAAAUGCCAUCGCUCAACGGAUAAAAGUUACCCUGGGGAUAACAGGCUGAUCUCCCCCAAGAGUCCACAUCGACGGGGAGGUUUGGCACCUCGAUGUCGGCUCAUCGCAUCCUGGGGCUGUAUUCGGUCCCAAGGGUUUGGCUGUUCGCCAAUUAAAGCGGUACGCGAGCUGGGUUCAGAACGUCGUGAGACAGUUCGGUCCCUAUCUGUCGUGGGCGCAGGAUAUUUGAUGGGAUCUGUCCCUAGUACGAGAGGACCGGGAUGGACGCACCUCUGGUGCACCAGUUGUCACGCCAGUGGCACAGCUGGGCAGCUAUGUGCGGAUUGGAUAAACGCUGAAAGCAUCUAAGCGUGAAGCCAGCCCAAAGAUAAGAUAUCCCACUGAGUUAAUCAGGUAAGACCCCUUGAAGACUACAAGGUUGAUAGGCACAAAGUGGAAGCGCGGUGACGCGUGCAGCUAGUGUGUACUAAUAGGUCGAGGGCUUGACCAC
This 545-nucleotide ribosomal RNA is filed under the name gut metagenome. RNAcentral's name for it is "bacterial LSU rRNA". It matches the Rfam family "Bacterial large subunit ribosomal RNA", at positions 2383 to 2925 of the family's 2925-position model. The record is from RNAcentral.